RNAcentral lists this ribosomal RNA (496 nucleotides) under uncultured bacterium. RNAcentral's name for it is "partial 16S ribosomal RNA". It matches the Rfam family "Bacterial small subunit ribosomal RNA", at positions 29 to 507 of the family's 1533-position model. The record is from RNAcentral.
AUGAACGCUGGCGGCGUUCCUUAUUCAUUCCAGUCGAGCGAACAGACGCUGAGCUUUCUCCUCUUACGUUAUCGGCGGACGGGUGAGUAACACUUUGUUAACCUACCUUUUUGACUGUGAUUACUUCGGGAAACCGGAUCUUAUUCCGGCUAAUUUAUUUAACCGCUUUGUUCUAUAUUUAAAUUCGGUUUUUCUUUCACUUAUUGAUUGUUCCGCGCCGUAUUAGCUAGUUGGUAAGGUAACGUCUUACCAAGGCAACGAUUCGUAGCCGACGUUAGAGGGUGAUCGGCCAAACGGGAACUGAGACACGGACCAGACUCCUACGGGAGGAAGCAGAAGGGAAUCUUCCGCAAUGGGCGAAAGCAUGACGGAGCAACGCCGCGUGAGUGAUGAAGGCGUUCGGAUCGUAAAACUCGGUUAUGAGGGAAGAAAAAAUGUGUAAGUAAAUAUGCACGUAGUGACGGUAACUAAACAGAAAGCAACGGCUAACUACGUG